UCGUAAAAGCCAGAACUAGUUUGCAUCGUGGAUUCUAUUGGAUUGGACUCCGAUCUACUGGUGCUCAAAACUGGAAAUGGGUAGAUGAAACUAUCUGUGAUCCCAGCAACAAAGCCACAGUAUGCUUUAUCAGUAAAAGCACUACAACAGGUCAAUACUGUGCAAUGAUUGGAAAUGUAAAUAAUCGAUGGGAUAUUCAGUUGUGUGGUAAUAAUUACCGAUGGGUCUGUGAGAGAAAGAUAUCCACUGUUUAAAUAUAUUAUUGGAGAAGGCAAUAACAAUAUCAGCAACAUAACCUAAUUGUGAUAGCUUUGAAACUCCAAAGGAAAUGCUGUUAGAUAAAAAAAUGAAGCCUGUUAAUUGCCAAUGCUGCGUUGACUGCACCGUGAUUAAAUGUUAUCAUUUUUAGCUGCCUCAGUCAUUUUGACAUUGCAAAUGCCAGUGGUCAUCUAGUAGCAAAUCAUGCCACAACAGAAAUACUUCAGUCUUACUGCCUUUCCAUACCCACAGAGAUGCCCAGGCGAAUAACAUUACAGCAUGUUACAGAAGUUCAAGUCGCUUAACUGCUGAUGGCAGAUGAGGUAUUUCCAUUAAUGUGCUCCUCCCUAGGAUCAAUGACAUUCUUCCCAUAACUGAUCUGCUCUGUGCAAAAAAAAAAAAAAACACUGCUGCCAUUUAAACAGCUGAGAAUAAAAUGAUUACGUUUACCAACUUAUCCAGCCAUCAGGAACACCACUGCUGUACUCUAAAUUCUAGCAGCCUGUUGUUGUUACUACUAAAGCCUCACUUUUACUUAAUACCUUCUCCUGCAAACUUGAAUGAGGGAUGUUUCCCCCAUUGCUCAGCAGAUUACAAUCAGAAAUCAAGUCUAAACACUCUGCACAAGCCUUCCUUCAGUCUUGCCACUUGUGAGAGGACUUUUUUUUAACCAGUGCCUGCUAUGUGGAAUGACAUACCAGAAAGAAAUUAUGAUAGUAGACCAACUCUACCUUUCAAUGAAUCACUCAGAGAUUACCUGUUCAAAUAAAAUAAGUGCAAUUAUUACAAGUAACUAUAGGGACACCAGAUAAUUGUCAAAGAUGAAAGUCUUAACAUCACUGCUUAUUGGUCUGCAAAUCUAACCAAACAUGAAUUCAGAUAAAUUUUUUUUUACAACCUUUUUAGAAUCCUAAUUACUCUAAAAAUAAAAAUAUCUUAACACAGUUUUCACUGUCUCUAAUUUCUGAAAGAAAACCCGUAGUGUGUAACUUUAUUAAUUUUUUUUUUGUAUUUUAACAGUGAUAACAAAUGCUAACUGAUAUAAACCUGUUUAUACAUUUUCUUUUUUUUGUGUUAUUUUCCAUUUCCUCUCAUUUAUUCUGCUCUUCAUGCCAACUCUCAGUCUUCAUUACUCUCUAAACAUAAAGGUUCUUUACUGGAUUGUUUUCUAAAAGUGCCUGUGAUUUAUAAUGAAGGCCUCUAUUUUCCUCCCUUCCUUUUCUGAGUGAUAGUUAACUUAAGAACUGAGUUCUCAACCUGAAUGGUUUAAUCUAUGUACAUCUGUAAGUACUACAAAAUGCAGUUAUGUUAUGUUUUUCUCUAAUUCACUCUGGUUUUGUACAUGUUUACAAUUUCUAGUUACUUCAUAUAAAAUCUUGUUUUGUUAUUGGAGUUUGACCUGAUUUGCUACUGUUAUCUGAUGGAAAUGCCUUUAGGUGUUCUGUAUUGUUGUACCUCAAUCAGUUUGUAUUUGUGUUUGUAUUACUAGUAUGGACCAGGUCACAGAUGGAAAGAACCACAGAUCAGUUCAGUUACCUGCUUAACAAAGAAUAAAUGAAUGAUUGAAUAAAUGAAUUAAUACACAAAUAACAUAAAUAAAAAAAUAAACAAG
This is a long non-coding RNA of Protopterus annectens (West African lungfish), 1870 nucleotides long. RefSeq lists it as uncharacterized. The record is from RefSeq and is a predicted model, not a curated record. NCBI's taxonomy places the organism in Eukaryota, Metazoa, Chordata, Ceratodontiformes, Protopteridae. The transcript has 2 exons.